CCCAUUUGGGCGUGAGGAGGGAAGGCGGGGGGAGCGACCAGAUUAGAACCCUUGGUAGUCCCCCCGUAACGGUGGAAUUUAGGGUUGGGACCAUUCCAGUUGUCGGUGCGGAGCUAACGCAUUAAGUUCCCGCCUGGGGAGUAGGCCGCAAGGUUAAAACUCAAAGAAUUUGCGGGGGCCGCACAAGCAGCGGAGCAUGUGGCUUAUUGGACGCAACGCGAAGACCUUACCAAGGCUUGACAUACACCGGAAACCGUCAGAGAUGGUCGCCCCCCUUGUGGUCGGUGUACAGGUGGUGCAUGGCUGUCGUCAGCUCGUGUCGUGAGAUGUUGGGUUAAGUCCCGCAACGAGCGCAACCCUUGUCCUGUGUUGCCAGCAUGCCCUUCGGGGUGAUGGGGACUCACAGGAGACCGCCGGGGUCAACUCGGAGGAAGGUGGGGACGACGUCAAGUCAUCAUGCCCCUUAUGUCUUGGGCUGCACACGUGCUACAAUGGCAGGUACAAUGAGCUGCGAUACCGUGAGGUGGAGCGAAUCUCAAAAAGCCUGUCUCAGUUCGGAUUGGGGUCUGCAACUCGACCCCAUGAAGUCGGAGUUGCUAGUAAUCGCAGAUCAGCAGUGCUGCGGUGAAUACGUUCCCGGGCCUUGUACACACCGCCCGUCACUGUCACGAAAGUCGGAAACACCCGAAGCCGGUGGUUCCUAACCCGUUACGGGAGGGAGCUGUCGAAGGUUGGAUUUCGAUA
RNAcentral lists this ribosomal RNA (744 nucleotides) under Streptomyces sp. Zapt18. Its description in RNAcentral is "bacterial SSU rRNA". It matches the Rfam family "Bacterial small subunit ribosomal RNA", at positions 735 to 1473 of the family's 1533-position model. Lineage: Bacteria; Bacillati; Actinomycetota; Actinomycetes; Kitasatosporales; Streptomycetaceae. The record is from RNAcentral.